RNA transcript from Oncorhynchus kisutch (coho salmon), 1208 nucleotides. It is a transcript of the gene named protein artemis-like, with no coding region annotated. NCBI's taxonomy places the organism in Eukaryota, Metazoa, Chordata, Actinopteri, Salmoniformes, Salmonidae. The transcript has 5 exons. The record is from RefSeq and is a predicted model, not a curated record.
UGGUAGCACAGAUAUAUGCUAGCAACCCAACCUUCCUUCCUUCUUCUUCUUCUUCUUUAACAAUGUGUUGUUAUGGUAAUACUGGUAGCACAGAUAUAUGCUAGCAACCCAACCUUCCUUCCUUCUUCUUCUUUAACAAGGUGUUGUUAUGGUAAUACUGGUAGCAAAGAUAAAUGCUGGCAACGUAGUUAUUGUGAGCAGGUUUAAAUUCAGAUACAAUGCUGACAGUGGAAACGUUUUGGCUCCCAUCCACUAGGUGGCUUAGCUAACGGCAGCUAUUCAAGUAUCCUGACCAAAAUGCGCCGAAAUGUCAGCUAGUCAACGAGUGGGUUGAAGUUGAGGAAAUUAUUGGAGCUAAUCUUCAGUCCAAAUGAGUUCGUUCGCGGGUCGCAUGAAGGAGUAUCCCAACAUGUCGCUGGAUCGGUUUGACAGGGAGAAUCUACAUGCAAGGGCUUAUUUUUUAUCUCACUGCCACAAAGAUCACAUGAAGGGGCUGAAGGGGCCUCUAUUGAAAAGAAAGCUGAAAUUCAGUCUGACAGUCAAACUGUACUGUUAAUUUGUUCCAGUCUGACAGUCAAACUGUACUGUUCAUUUGUUCCAGUCUGACAGUCAAACUGUACUGUUCAUUUGUAACUAAGGAACUGUUGCUGAGCAAUCCAAAAUAUGCCUUCUGGGAAGAUCACAUAGUUGCUUUGGAACUGGAGAGUCCCACACUAAUCACUUUAAUAGACGAGGCUUCAGGAGAGAAAGAAGAACUUGUGGUGACUCUGCUUCCUGCAGGUCACUGUCCAGGCUCGGUCAUGUGAGUAUUGUGUGUGCGUGCAUGUAUGUGUGCUUAUGUGGUAUCACCUAGCUUGUGUUUGUGGUAUCACCUAGCUUGUGUGUGUUUCUGGUAAUAUGACGUAUCACCUAGCUUGUGUGUGUUAGUUAGACUUGGGUGAUAUACUGCGUUCUGGGGUAUUUAGAAAUAGCGACAGUGUGAUAUUUUUGGGGGUGAGGGCCCUCUAACGCUCUGAGCCUCGCGGGGGUGCAUGCUACGCCACUGUUUCUAACUAUCAUUUCCCUAGCUAAGAUGUACUGACUAAAUGAUCUCAGGGGUGCAACUCAAUAUUACAAAGGUGAGUGUACAAACAAUAAGAACACCUUCCUAAUAUUGAGUUGCCUCCCCCCCCAAUUUGUUGGGGCGUGGACACUACAAGAUGUCAAAA